RNAcentral lists this ribosomal RNA (345 nucleotides) under uncultured Sphingobacteriales bacterium. Its description in RNAcentral is "bacterial SSU rRNA". It matches the Rfam family "Bacterial small subunit ribosomal RNA", at positions 1038 to 1382 of the family's 1533-position model. The record is from RNAcentral. Lineage: Bacteria; Pseudomonadati; Bacteroidota; Sphingobacteriia; Sphingobacteriales.
UUGCUGCAUGGUUGUCGUCAGCUCGUGCCGUGAGGUGUCGGGUUAAGUCCCAUAACGAGCGCAACCCUUAUCGUUAGUUGCCAGCGGGUAAUGCCGGGAACUCUAGCGAAACUGCCGGUGUAAACCGAGAGGAAGGUGGGGAUGACGUCAAAUCAGCACGGCCCUUAUGUCCAGGGCUACACACGUGUUACAAUGGCCGGUACAGAGGGCAGCUACCUGUUGACAGGAUGCGAAUCUCGAAAGCCGGUCUCAGUUCGGAUCGGAGUCUGCAACCCGACUCCGUGAAGCUGGAUUCGCUAGUAAUCGCGCAUCAGCCAUGGCGCGGUGAAUACGUUCCCGGGCCUU